RNAcentral lists this ribosomal RNA (433 nucleotides) under uncultured bacterium. RNAcentral describes it as "partial 16S ribosomal RNA". It matches the Rfam family "Bacterial small subunit ribosomal RNA", at positions 29 to 507 of the family's 1533-position model. The record is from RNAcentral.
AACGAACGCUGGCGGCAUGCCUAACACAUGCAAGUCGAACGAGACCUUCGGGUCUAGUGGCGCACGGGUGCGUAACGCGUGGGAACCUGCCCUUAGGUUCGGAAUAACUCCCCGAAAGGGGUGCUAAUACCGGAUAAUGUCUUCGGACCAAAGAUUUAUCGCCUUUGGAUGGGCCCGCGUUGGAUUAGCUAGUUGGUAGGGUAAAAGCCUACCAAGGCGACGAUCCAUAGCUGGUCUGAGAGGAUGAUCAGCCACACUGGGACUGAGACAUGGCCCAGACUCCUACGGGAGGCAGCAGUGGGGAAUAUUGGACAAUGGGCGAAAGCCUGAUCCAGCAAUGCCGCGUGAGUGAUGAAGGCCUUAGGGUUGUAAAGCUCUUUUACCCGGGAUGAUAAUGACAGUACCGGGAGAAUAAGCUCCGGCUAACUCCGUG